RNAcentral lists this ribosomal RNA (547 nucleotides) under Staphylococcus aureus. RNAcentral's name for it is "bacterial SSU rRNA". It matches the Rfam family "Bacterial small subunit ribosomal RNA", at positions 73 to 605 of the family's 1533-position model. Lineage: Bacteria; Bacillati; Bacillota; Bacilli; Caryophanales; Staphylococcaceae. The record is from RNAcentral.
GAGAAGCUUGCUUCUCUGAUGUUAGCGGCGGACGGGUGAGUAACACGUGGAUAACCUACCUAUAAGACUGGGAUAACUUCGGGAAACCGGAGCUAAUACCGGAUAAUAUUUUGAACCGCAUGGUUCAAAAGUGAAAGACGGUCUUGCUGUCACUUAUAGAUGGAUCCGCGCUGCAUUAGCUAGUUGGUAAGGUAACGGCUUACCAAGGCAACGAUGCAUAGCCGACCUGAGAGGGUGAUCGGCCACACUGGAACUGAGACACGGUCCAGACUCCUACGGGAGGCAGCAGUAGGGAAUCUUCCGCAAUGGGCGAAAGCCUGACGGAGCAACGCCGCGUGAGUGAUGAAGGUCUUCGGAUCGUAAAACUCUGUUAUUAGGGAAGAACAUAUGUGUAAGUAACUGUGCACAUCUUGACGGUACCUAAUCAGAAAGCCACGGCUAACUACGUGCCAGCAGCCGCGGUAAUACGUAGGUGGCAAGCGUUAUCCGGAAUUAUUGGGCGUAAAGCGCGCGUAGGCGGUUUUUUAAGUCUGAUGUGAAAGCCCAC